UGCAAGUCGGUACCAAUAGUACCGCAGAGCUUGCUCUCGGGUGACGAGUGGCGGACGGGUGAGUAAUGUCUGGGAAACUGCCUGAUGGAGGGGGAUAACUACUGGAAACGGUAGCUAAUACCGCAUAACGUCGCAAGACCAAAGAGGGGGACCUUCGGGCCUCUUGCCAUCAGAUGUGCGCCAGAUGGGAUUAGCUAGUAGGUGGGGUAACGGCUCACCUAACGGCGACGAUCCCUAGCGGUGGUCUGAGAGGAUGACCACGAUGCCACACUGGAACUGAGACACGGUCCAGACUCCUACGGGAGGCAGCAGUGGGGAAUAUUGCACAAUGGGCGCAAGCCUGAUGCAGCCAUGCCGCGUGUAUGAAGAAGGCCUUCGGGUUGUAAAGUACUUUCAGCGGGGAGGAAGGUGUUGAGGUUAAUAACCUCAGCAAUUGACGUUACCCGCAGAAGAAGCACCGGCUAACUCCGUGCCAGCAGCCGCGGUAAUACGGAGGGUGCAAGCGUUAAUCGGAAUUACUGGGCGUAAAGCGCACGCAGGCGGUCUGUCAAGUCGGAUGUGAAGAUCCCCGGGCUCAACCUGGGAACUGCAUUCGAAACUGGCAGGCUAGAGUCUUGUAGAGGGGGGUAGAAUUCCAGGUCGUAGCGGUGAAAUGCGUAGAGAUCGUGGAUCGGAAUACCGGUGGCGAAGGCGGCCCCGGGCUGGACAAAGACUGACGCUCAGGUGCGAAAGCGUGGGGAGCAA
RNAcentral lists this ribosomal RNA (744 nucleotides) under Enterobacter sp. LI. RNAcentral's name for it is "bacterial SSU rRNA". It matches the Rfam family "Bacterial small subunit ribosomal RNA", at positions 56 to 771 of the family's 1533-position model. Lineage: Bacteria; Pseudomonadati; Pseudomonadota; Gammaproteobacteria; Enterobacterales; Enterobacteriaceae. The record is from RNAcentral.